RNAcentral lists this ribosomal RNA (142 nucleotides) under uncultured Sebacinales. Its description in RNAcentral is "partial 28S ribosomal RNA". The record is from RNAcentral. Lineage: Eukaryota; Fungi; Basidiomycota; Agaricomycetes; Sebacinales.
CNNUUUCGAUUGAGGGAGAAAGACUUGAGGAAUGUGGCUGUCUUCGGGCAGUGUUAUAGCCUCUUGUUGUAUGUCUCAAUUGGGAUUGAGGAAUGCAGCACGCCCUAUGGCUGGGGUUCGCCCUCAGUACGUGCUUAGGAUG